Molecule: non-coding RNA, 69 nt
Organism: Rattus norvegicus (Norway rat)
Lineage: Eukaryota; Metazoa; Chordata; Mammalia; Rodentia; Muridae
Source: Rfam
CUUUCCUGUAUAUUUCAUAAUCAUCUUUCAAAGCCACACAUUUCUUUCAGACCACCAAGAAUACAAUUC